GUCUAGUUUACUAGAUGCUGACGAGUGGCGGACGGCUGAGUAACGCGUGGGAACGUGCCCUAAAGUGAGGGAUAACGCACCGAAAGGUGUGCUAAUACCGCAUAUGAUCUUCGGAUUAAAGAAUUUAUUCGCUUUAGGAGCGGCCCGCGUCGGAUUAGGUUGUUGGUGAGGUAAUGGCUCACCAAGCCGACGAUCCGUAGCUGGUCUGAGAGGAUGACCAGCCAGACUGGAACUGAGACACGGUCCAGACUCCUACGGGAGGCAGCAGUGAGGAAUCUUCCACAAUGGGCGAAAGCCUGAUGGAGCAACGCCGCGUGCGGGAUGAAGGCCUUCGGGUCGUAAACCGCUUUUAUUAG
This 356-nucleotide ribosomal RNA is filed under the name uncultured Azospirillum sp. RNAcentral's name for it is "bacterial SSU rRNA". It matches the Rfam family "Bacterial small subunit ribosomal RNA", at positions 73 to 442 of the family's 1533-position model. The record is from RNAcentral. Lineage: Bacteria; Pseudomonadati; Pseudomonadota; Alphaproteobacteria; Rhodospirillales; Azospirillaceae.